GAGGCCUUAGCUUAAUUUAAAGUGCUUGAGUUGCAUUCAGGUGAUGCGGGUUUGUCUCGUAGGUUUUA
This 68-nucleotide transfer RNA is filed under the name Pelturagonia nigrilabris (Blacklipped eyebrow lizard). RNAcentral's name for it is "tRNA-Ala". It matches the Rfam family "tRNA". From Rfam's summary of the family: Transfer RNA (tRNA) molecules are approximately 80 nucleotides in length. Their secondary structure includes four short double-helical elements and three loops (D, anti-codon, and T loops). Further hydrogen bonds mediate the characteristic L-shaped molecular structure. tRNAs have two regions of fundamental functional importance: the anti-codon, which is responsible for specific mRNA codon recognition, and the 3' end, to which the tRNAs corresponding amino acid is attached (by aminoacyl-tRNA synthetases). tRNAs cope with the degeneracy of the genetic code in two manners: having more than one tRNA (with a specific anti-codon) for a particular amino acid; and 'wobble' base-pairing, i.e. permitting non-standard base-pairing at the 3rd anti-codon position. Lineage: Eukaryota; Metazoa; Chordata; Lepidosauria; Squamata; Agamidae. The record is from RNAcentral.